GCCGGAGUAGCUCAGUGGUAGAGCAAUUGCAUGGUAAGCAGUAGGUCGGGAGUUCAAUCCUCCCCUCCGGCU
RNAcentral lists this transfer RNA (72 nucleotides) under bacterium. RNAcentral's name for it is "tRNA-Thr". It matches the Rfam family "tRNA". Rfam says of the family: Transfer RNA (tRNA) molecules are approximately 80 nucleotides in length. Their secondary structure includes four short double-helical elements and three loops (D, anti-codon, and T loops). The record is from RNAcentral.